Molecule: small RNA, 72 nt
Filed under: Polaribacter dokdonensis DSW-5
Lineage: Bacteria; Pseudomonadati; Bacteroidota; Flavobacteriia; Flavobacteriales; Flavobacteriaceae
Description: Flavo-1 RNA
Rfam family: Flavo-1 RNA
Source: RNAcentral
GAUUAGCCCUGGUUGAAACGACAUCCUUUUUUGUUUUUCGCAAAAAAGAUAUAGUGUAAAGCAGGUAUUAGC